RNAcentral lists this unclassified non-coding RNA (333 nucleotides) under Hevea brasiliensis (rubber tree). Lineage: Eukaryota; Viridiplantae; Streptophyta; Magnoliopsida; Malpighiales; Euphorbiaceae. The record is from RNAcentral.
CUACCGGUUUCAGAAAAGAGAAGCUAAGAGAAAUGAGAUCAUGGUGCUGCAGACCAAAUUUGAGCAGGACAAGAAACGGAUACAGCAGUUGAGAGCUGCAAGAAAAUUUCGACCUUACUAAUACUACUUCUUGAAGGGAGUUGUUAUAAGCUAGAAAAGAGAGGAUCGGAAGGUUUAGGGAAAAAGGGGUUCCAAUGAAAACCACAUUACCUUAACUUGAGAACAUAUUCAUUUACUAUGGUUUUAGUUUCCGAGCUCAUCAAUUAUUUUAUCAGGUAACUCCAUCCAUAAAAAAUGCACAUGAAUUUUGUCAUAGAGGCAGGCGACUUUGCG